Molecule: ribosomal RNA, 879 nt
Filed under: Leptodontidium sp. nwa_besc_80cb
Lineage: Eukaryota; Fungi; Ascomycota; Leotiomycetes; Helotiales; Leptodontidiaceae
Description: eukaryotic LSU rRNA
Rfam family: Eukaryotic large subunit ribosomal RNA (bases 552-879)
Source: RNAcentral
AGGAUCAUUACUAGAGCAAAGGAUAGACAGCGCCCGCGGAGCUCGCUCCCGGGGCUACCCUACGGGAGUAGGGUUUAGAGUCGUCGGGCCUCUCGGAGAAGCUCGGUCCUGAACUCCACCCUUGAAUAAACUACCUUUGUUGCUUUGGCGGGCCGCCUCGUGCCAGCGGCUUCGGCUGUUGAGUGCCCGCCAGAGGACCCCAACUCUUGUUUUUAGUGAUGUCUGAGUACUAUAUAAUAGUUAAAACUUUCAACAACGGAUCUCUUGGUUCUGGCAUCGAUGAAGAACGCAGCGAAAUGCGAUAAGUAAUGUGAAUUGCAGAAUUCAGUGAAUCAUCGAAUCUUUGAACGCACAUUGCGCCCUCUGGUAUUCCGGGGGGCAUGCCUGUUCGAGCGUCAUUAUAACCACUCAAGCUCUCGCUUGGUAUUGGGGUUCGCGGUUUCGCGGCCCCUAAAAUCAGUGGCGGUGCCUGUCGGCUCUACGCGUAGUAAUACUCCUCGCGAUUGAGUCCGGUAGGUCUACUUGCCAGCAACCCCUAAUUUUUUUAAGGUUGACCUCGGAUCAGGUAGGGAUACCCGCUGAACUUAAGCAUAUCAAUAAGCGGAGGAAAAGAAACCAACAGGGAUUACCUCAGUAACGGCGAGUGAAGCGGUAACAGCUCAAAUUUGAAAGCUGGCUCUUUUAGGGUCCGCGUUGUAAUUUGUAGAAGAUGCUUCGGGUGUGGCCCCGGUCUAAGUUCCUUGGAACAGGACGUCAUAGAGGGUGAGAAUCCCGUAUGUGACUGGGUGCUUUCGCUCAUGUGAAGCUCUUUCGACGAGUCGAGUUGUUUGGGAAUGCAGCUCAAAAUGGGUGGUAAAUUUCAUCUAAAGCUAAAUAUUG